AUGGUUUCUGAUGCACCUGCAUUUAGGACCACCGUCGUGCUGGCCGCCGUCUUGGCAGUGCUCGUCCUAGCACCGCCAUCCUUAGCAUGCGAGGAGGGGGCUCCGGCUCCGGCUCCGGCACUGGCUCCGGCCCCAGCUCCGGCACCCGUGAUGCUGUGCGGGGAUUGCGAGUCGCGGUGUCAGGCGAGGUCGACGUGCGAAGCCUACGUUGCCGCGGCAGGAUGCGGGAAUGAGUGCGACACCAGCUAUACGCCGGAGUGCGAGCCCUGCAAAUCCAGGGCCAUGCAGUCGUGCACGACCGGCUGCAACAGCUACUGCCUCACCAACUGCCAAGGCAGCCAGUGCGACAACUGCGCCACAUCAUGCGGCGGGCACUGCACCCAAGAAGCCGUGAACGCGUGCCGGAGCAGAUGCACCUACUCCUACUACCAGGUCAAAUCAUGCAAGGAAUGCCAGUCCGAUGCCGCCAGGAGGUGCAUCUACGCCUGCAACACCCAAUGCAAGGCCAACUGCGUCGUCAGCGGCUGA
Molecule: ribosomal RNA, 528 nt
Filed under: Triticum aestivum (bread wheat)
Lineage: Eukaryota; Viridiplantae; Streptophyta; Magnoliopsida; Poales; Poaceae
Description: partial small subunit ribosomal RNA
Source: RNAcentral